GACGAACGCUGGCGGCGUGCUUAACACAUGCAAGUCGAACGGAAAGGCCCUGCUUUUGUGGGGUGCUCGAGUGGCGAACGGGUGAGUAACACGUGAGUAGCCUGCCCUUGACUUUGGGAUAACUUCAGGAAACUGGGGCUAAUACCGGAUAGGAGCUCCUGCUGCAUGGUGGGGGUUGGAAAGUUUCGGCGGUUGGGGAUGGACUCGCGGCUUAUCAGCUUGUUGGUGGGGUAGUGGCUUACCAAGGCUUUGACGGGUAGCCGGCCUGAGAGGGUGACCGGCCACAUUGGGACUGAGAUACGGAGCAGACUCCUACGGGAGGCAGCAGUGGGGAAUAUUGCACAAUGGGCGGAAGCCUGAUGCAGCAACGCCGCGUGCGGGAUGACGGCCUUCGGGUUGUAAACCGCUUUCGCCUGUGACGAAGCGUGAGUGACGGUAAUGGGUAAAGAAGCACCGGCUAACUACGUG
Molecule: ribosomal RNA, 468 nt
Filed under: uncultured bacterium
Lineage: Bacteria
Description: partial 16S ribosomal RNA
Rfam family: Bacterial small subunit ribosomal RNA
Source: RNAcentral